This 461-nucleotide ribosomal RNA is filed under the name uncultured bacterium. RNAcentral describes it as "bacterial SSU rRNA". It matches the Rfam family "Bacterial small subunit ribosomal RNA", at positions 340 to 786 of the family's 1533-position model. The record is from RNAcentral.
UACGGAAGGCAGCAGUGGGGAAUAUUGCACAAUGGGCGAAAGCCUGAUGCAGCUAUGCCGCGUGUAUGAAGAAGGCCUUAGGGUUGUAAAGUACUUUCAUCGGGGAGGAAAAACAAAACUAAUAAUUUUAUUUCUUGACGUUACCCGAAAAAGAAGCACCGGCUAACUCCGUGCCAGCAGCCGCGGUAAUACGGAGGGUGCUAGCGUUAAUCAGAAUUACUGGGCGUAAAGAGCACGUAGGUGGUUUUUUAAAGUCAGAUGUGAAAUCCCUGGGCUUAACCUAGGAACUGCAUUUUGAAAACUGAAAUACUAGAGUAUCGUAGAGGGAGGUAGAAUUCUAGGUGGUAGCGGUGAAAUGCGUAGAUAUCUGGAGGAAUACCUGUGGCGAAAGCGGCCUCCUAAACGAAUACUGACACUGAGGUGCGAAAAGCGUGGGGAGCGAAAACAGGGAUUAGGAUACC